AAAAUCCUUCUCCUAUGCCUAAGGGAAAAGUGAAACAUUGUUGGGCAUUUUCAAUAUUAUCACCAAUAAAAAUACAAUUUUAUUCAUCCACAUCUAUGAUGUUUAUUUUUAGUUUUUUCUUUUUUUUCUUCUGAAAAAUGGUAAUCCCAAAAUACAUAAAUAAGCAACAAUUUUUCCCAUAUCUGCAUAAUAUUUGUUUGCA
This 202-nucleotide long non-coding RNA is filed under the name Lathyrus oleraceus (garden pea). RNAcentral's name for it is "Pisum sativum (pea) long non-coding RNA (PSAT_LNC025405)". The record is from RNAcentral. Lineage: Eukaryota; Viridiplantae; Streptophyta; Magnoliopsida; Fabales; Fabaceae.